Molecule: long non-coding RNA, 508 nt
Filed under: Homo sapiens (human)
Lineage: Eukaryota; Metazoa; Chordata; Mammalia; Primates; Hominidae
Description: HSALNT0088364
Source: RNAcentral
GCUCUUUCCCUCGCGUAAGAACCUGACUUGCCAGGCACACAGUGAACCAGCAGAAGACUACAUGAGGACAAUGGAGAUAUGGCUACUUACAAGAAACUACACAACUCAUUGGCUGGUUGUCUCGCUGUGGCACUUCUCUGUUUAUGUUGCCAUGGCUUCCUCGACAGCCUCAUUCCUGCCUUCGUGUCUGACACACAUUUCUGACAUCGUGAUGGAUGCCUCUACCCUGAGCACCAGCACCUCCUCAAGGGAAACGCAGCCUCAACCACACUCAUCAUUUUCUUUCAUCAACCGCCUGUCCUUCUGGAUCGCCCAGUUUCCAGUCUUGAGAGCUCCGUUAUCACUGACCCUCUGUCUCCUGAUCCCAUUGUAGUAGUUGAUAGUGUCAACUAUGUUACACCUAUACAAUGUUUUCAGAAAUGACCUCUUUUUCUAUUUUCCCCUCCAUGAAUUUAGUUUAUAAUAUUAUUUCUUAAAAUACAAAUAAUACUUGCUCAUUGUAGUUUUU